AAGGUUUGGUCCUAGCCUUGAAAUCAGUUCUUAUUUAAUAUACACAUGCAAGUCUCCGCAUCCCUGUGAAAACGCCCUUAAUCCCCUCAUGGGAAUAGGAGCUGGUAUCAGGCUCAACUUCUGCCCAAGACACCUAGCCUCGCCACACCCACAAGGGACCUCAGCAGUGAUUAACAUUGAGCAUAAGCGUCAGCUUGACUCAGUUAAACUUUCUAGAGCCGGCCAAUCUGGUGCCAGCCGCCGCGGUUAUACCAGAAGCUCAAAUUGAUUUCUAUCGGCGUAAAGCGUGAUUAAAGUUAUAUACCUCAUGGAGUCAAAUUAAAACUAAGCUGUGACACGCCUGUUACCUAAGAAGCCCAAAAACGAAAGUAACUCCAACAUUUUUCCACUUGAAUUCACGACAUCUGAGACACAAACUGGGAUUAGAUACCCCACUAUGCUCAGUCGUAAACCUUUAACUACACCCUCUAUCGCCCGGGAACUACGAGCCAAGCUUAAAACCCAAAGGACUUGACGGUACCCCAUAUCCACCUAGAGGAGCCUGUCCUAUAAUCGAUAACCCACGUUCAACCUCACCAUUUUUAGCCUAUUCAGCCUGUAUACCUCCGUCGUCAGCUUACCACGUGAGCGUCAGUGAGCUUAAUGUUACUCAACCACACGUCAGGUCAAGGUGCAACUUAUGAAAUGGAAAGAGAUGGGCUACACUCUCUAAUUUAGAACACACGAAAGACUACCAAUGAAAAUUUGUCAGAAGGCGGAUUUAGCAGUAAACAGAAAUCAAAAUAUUCCGUUUAAUUCGGCACUGGGGUGUGUACACACCGCCCGUCACCCUCCUCUAAUGCUAACCAUAGUUUUUAACCAACUUAAGCUCACCAGAAGAGGUAAGUCGUAACAUGGUAAGUAUACCGGAAGGUGUGCUUGGA
RNAcentral lists this non-coding RNA (923 nucleotides) under Mannophryne leonardoi. RNAcentral's name for it is "12S ribosomal RNA". It matches the Rfam family "Bacterial small subunit ribosomal RNA". The record is from RNAcentral. Lineage: Eukaryota; Metazoa; Chordata; Amphibia; Anura; Aromobatidae.